AACGCGAAGAACCUUACCUGGGCUUGAACUACUGGUAGUAAGUCCUUGGAAACAGGGACUGAUCCGCAAGGAAGCCAGCAGAGGUGCUGCAUGGUUGUCGUCAGCUCGUGUCGUGAGAUGUUGGGUUAAGUCCCGCAACGAGCGCAACCCCUAUCUCAUGUUGCUACUCCCGCAAGGGAGGCACUUUUGAGAAACUGCCUUCGAUAAGAAGGAGGAAGGUGGGGACGACGUCAAAUCCUCAUGGCCCUUAUGUCCAGGGCCACACACGUGCUACAAUGGCCGGUACAACGGGAAGCAAUACCGUAAGGUGGAGCAAAACCCUUAAAGCCGGCCCCAGUUCAGAUCGUGGGCUGCAACUCGCCCACGUGAAGGCGGAAUCGCUAGUAAUCGCGAAUCAGCAGGUCGCGGUGAAUACGUUCCCGGGCCUUGUA
RNAcentral lists this ribosomal RNA (431 nucleotides) under uncultured Elusimicrobium sp. RNAcentral describes it as "bacterial SSU rRNA". It matches the Rfam family "Bacterial small subunit ribosomal RNA", at positions 958 to 1385 of the family's 1533-position model. The record is from RNAcentral. Lineage: Bacteria; Pseudomonadati; Elusimicrobiota; Elusimicrobia; Elusimicrobiales; Elusimicrobiaceae.